GAUGAACGCUGGCGGCGUGCUUAACACAUGCAAGUCGAACGGAAAGGCCCAAGCUUGCUUGGGUACUCGAGUGGCGAACGGGUGAGUAACACGUGGGUGAUCUGCCCUGCACUUCGGGAUAAGCCUGGGAAACUGGGUCUAAUACCGGAUAGGACCACAUUUUGGAUGGUGUGGUGGAAAGCUUUUCGGGGUGGGGUGAGGUCGCGGCCUAUCAGCUUGUUGGUGGGGUAAUGGCCUACCAAGGCGUCGACGGGUAGCCGGCCUGCGAGGGUGUACGGCCACCAUGGGACUGAGAUGCGGCCCAGACUGCGAAUGGAGGAAGCAGGGGGGAAGAUUGCACAAUGGGCGCAAGCCUGGUGCAGCGAGGCCGCGGGGGGGAAGACGGCCUUCGGGUUGGAAACUCGCUUCGCUAGGGACGAAGCGUUAUGUGACGGUACCUGGAGAAGAAGCACCGGCUAACUACGUG
This 466-nucleotide ribosomal RNA is filed under the name uncultured bacterium. Its description in RNAcentral is "partial 16S ribosomal RNA". It matches the Rfam family "Bacterial small subunit ribosomal RNA", at positions 28 to 507 of the family's 1533-position model. The record is from RNAcentral.